This 72-nucleotide transfer RNA is filed under the name Clostridiales bacterium. Its description in RNAcentral is "tRNA-Gln". It matches the Rfam family "tRNA". Rfam says of the family: Transfer RNA (tRNA) molecules are approximately 80 nucleotides in length. Lineage: Bacteria; Bacillati; Bacillota; Clostridia; Eubacteriales. The record is from RNAcentral. RNAcentral also lists the same sequence under 1 other name.
UGGGCUAUCGCCAAGCGGUAAGGCACAGGACUUUGACUCCUGCAGGCGCCGGUUCGAAUCCGGCUAGCCCAG